GACGAACGCUGGCGGCGUGCUUAACACAUGCAAGUCGAGCGGUAAGGCCUUUCGGGGUACACGAGCGGCGAACGGGUGAGUAACACGUGGGUGAUCUGCCCUGCACUCUGGGAUAAGCCUGGGAAACUGGGUCUAAUACCGGAUAUGAGCUCCUGCUGCAUGGUGGGGGUUGGAAAGAUUUAUCGGUGCAGGAUGGGCCCGCGGCCUAUCAGCUUGUUGGUGGGGUAAUGGCCUACCAAGGCGACGACGGGUAGCCGGCCUGAGAGGGCGACCGGCCACACUGGGACUGAGACACGGCCCAGACUCCUACGGGAGGCAGCAGUGGGGAAUAUUGCACAAUGGGCGCAAGCCUGAUGCAGCGACGCCGCGUGAGGGAUGACGGCCUUCGGGUUGUAAACCUCUUUCAGUAGGGACGAAGCGCAAGUGACGGUACCUAUAGAAGAAGCACCGGCCAACUACGUGC
Molecule: ribosomal RNA, 463 nt
Filed under: uncultured bacterium
Lineage: Bacteria
Description: bacterial SSU rRNA
Rfam family: Bacterial small subunit ribosomal RNA
Source: RNAcentral